Protopterus annectens (West African lungfish) is the source of this 154-nucleotide ribosomal RNA. RefSeq annotates it as 5.8S ribosomal RNA. The record is from RefSeq and is a predicted model, not a curated record. NCBI's taxonomy places the organism in Eukaryota, Metazoa, Chordata, Ceratodontiformes, Protopteridae. The transcript has a single exon.
GUGUCUGAACAGUGGAUUACUCGGCUCACACGUCAAUGAAGAAUGCAGCUAGCUGCAAGUACUAAUGUGAAUUGCAGGACACAUUGACCAUCGACACUUCGAACGCACUUUGCUGCCCAUGGUUACUCCUGGGUUUACGUCUGUCUGAGGGUCG